This 465-nucleotide ribosomal RNA is filed under the name Vreelandella stevensii. RNAcentral's name for it is "partial 16S ribosomal RNA". It matches the Rfam family "Bacterial small subunit ribosomal RNA", at positions 338 to 795 of the family's 1533-position model. Lineage: Bacteria; Pseudomonadati; Pseudomonadota; Gammaproteobacteria; Oceanospirillales; Halomonadaceae. The record is from RNAcentral.
CCUACGGGAGGCUGCAGUGGGGAAUAUUGGACAAUGGGGGGAACCCUGAUCCAGCCAUGCCGCGUGUGUGAAGAAGGCCCUCGGGUUGUAAAGCACUUUCAGUGAGGAAGAACGCCUGGUGGUUAAUACCCAUCAGGAAAGACAUCACUCACAGAAGAAGCACUGGCUAACUCCGUGCCAGCAGCCGCGGUAAUACGGAGGGUGCGAGCGUUAAUCGGAAUUACUGGGCGUAAAGCGCGCGUAGGUGGCUUGAUAAGCCGGUUGUGAAAGCCCCGGGCUCAACCUGGGAACGGCAUCCGGAACUGUCAAGCUAGAGUGCAGGAGAGGAAGGUAGAAUUCCCGGUGUAGCGGUGAAAUGCGUAGAGAUCGGGAGGAAUACCAGUGGCGAAGGCGGCCUUCUGGACUGACACUGACACUGAGGUGCGAAAGCGUGGGUAGCAAACAGGAUUAGAUACCCCGGUAGUC